UUGGAGCUAGGGUUAGGGUUGGGCUUGGAGCUAGGAUUUUUCUGAGUGCAAUGAACCAACUCCCGAGUCUCUAGGACGUUCCUAAAAAAAUUUGAUUUUUUCCCAUAGGAAUGCAUGGGUUAGGGUUAGGGUUGGAGCUAGGGUUAGGGUUAGGGUUAGGGUUGGAGUUAGGGUUAGUGUUGGAGCUAGGGUUAGGGUUGGGCUUGGAGCUAGGAUUUUUCUGAGUGCAAUGAACCAACUCCCGAGUCUCUAGGACGUUCCUAAAAAAAUUUGAUUUUUUCCCAUAGGAAUGCAUGGGUUAGGGUUAGGGUUAGGGUUGGAGCUAGGGUUAGGGUUAGGGUUGGAGUUAGGGUUAGUGUUGGAGCUAGGGUUAGGGUUGGGCUUGGAGCUAGGAUUUUUCUGAGUGCAAUGAACCAACUCCCGAGUCUCUAGGACGUUCCUAAAAAAAAUUGUUUUUUUCCCAUAGGAAUGCAUGGGUUAGGGUUAGGGUUAGUGUUGGAGCUAGGGUUAGGGUUAGGGUUAGGGUUGGAGUUAGGGUUAGUGUUGGAGCUAGGGUAAGGGUUGGGCUUGGAGCUAGGAUUUUUCUGAGUGCAAUGAACCAACUCCUGAGUCUCUAGGACGUUCCUGAAAAAAAUUGAUUUUUUCCCAUAGGAAUGCAUGGGUUAGGGUUAGGGUUAGGGUUGGAGCUAGGGUUAGGGUUGGAGCUAGGGUUAGGGUUAGGGUUAGGGUUGGAGUUAGGGUUAGUGUUGGAGCUAGGGUUAGGGUUGGGCUUGUAGCUAGGAUUUUUCUGAGUGCAAUGAACCAACUCCUGAGUCUCUAGGACGUUCCUAAAAAAAUUUGUUUUUUUCCCAUAGGAAUGCAUGGGUUAGGGUUACGGUUAGGGUUAGGGUUGGAGUUAGGGUUAGUGUUGGAGCUAGGGUUAGGGUUAGGGUUAGAGCUAGGGUUAGGGUUAGGGUUAGGGUUAAGGUUGGAGCUAGGGUUAGGGUUAGGGUUAGGGUUGGAGCCAGGGUUAGGGUUAGGGUUAGGGUUGGAGUUAGGGUUAGUGUUGGAGCUAGGGUUAGGGUUGGGCUUGGAGCUAGGAUUUUUCUGAGUGCAAUGAACCAACUCCCGAGUCUCUAGGAUGUUCCUUAAAAAAAUUUGAUUUUUUCCCAUAGGAAUGCAUGGGUUAGGGUUAGGGUUAGUGUUGGAGCUAGGGUUAGGGUUAGGGUUAGGGUUGGAGUUAGGGUCAGUGUUGGAGCUAGGGUUAGGGUUGGGCUUGGAGCUAGGAUUUGUCUGAGUGCAAUGAACCAACUCUUGAGUCUCUAGGACGUUCCUAAAAAAAUUGAUUUUUUCCCAUAGGAAUGCAUGGGUUAGGGUUAGUGUUAGGGUUGGAGUUAGGGUCAGUGUUGGAGCUAGGGUUAGGGUUGGGCUUGGAGCUAGGAUUUUUCUGAGUGCAAUGAACCAACUCCCGAGUCUCUAGGAUGUUCCUAAAAAAAUUUGAUUUUUUCCCAUAGGAAUGCAUGGGUUAGGGUUAGGGUUAGGGUUGGAGCUAGGGUUAGGGUUAGGGUUAGGGUUGGAGUUAGUGUUAGUGUUGGAGCUAGGGUUAGGGUUGGGCUUGGAGCUAGAAUUUUUCUGAGUGCAAUGAACCAACUCCUGAGUCUCUAGGACGUUCCUAAAAAAAUUUGUUUUUUUCCCAUAGGAAUGCAUGGGUUAGGGUUAGGGUUAGGGUUAAGGUUGGAGUUAGGGUUAGUGUUGGAGCUAGGGUUAGGGUUGGGGCUAGGGUUAGGGUUAGGGUUAGGGUUAAGGUUGGAGCUAGGGUUAGGGUUAGGGUUAGGGUUGGAGCCAGGGUUAGGGUUAGGGUUGGAGUUAGGGUUAGUGUUGGAGCUAGGGUUAGGGUUGGGCUUGGAGCUAGGAUUUUUCUGAGUGCAAUGAACCAACUCCCGAGUCUCUAGGAUGUUCCUAAAAAAAUUUGAUUUUUUUCCCAUAGGAAUGCAUGGGUUAGGGUUAGGGUUAGUGUUGGAGCUAGGGUUAGGGUUAGGGUUAGGGUUGGAGUUAGGGUUAGUGUUGGAGCUAGGGUUAGGGUUGGGCUUGGAGCUAGGAUUUUUCUGAGUGCAAUGAACCAACUCCCGAGUCUCUAGGAUGUUCCUAAAAAAAUUUGAUUUUUUCCCAUAGGAAUGCAUGGGUUAGGGUUAGGGUUAGUGUUGGAGCUAGGGUUAGGGUUAGGGUUAGGGUUGGAGUUAGGGUCAGUGUUGGAGCUAGGGUUAGGGUUGGGCUUGGAGCUAGGAUUUUUCUGAGUGCAGUGAACCAACUCCUGAGUCUCUAGGACAUUCCUAAAAAAAAUUGUUUUUUUCCCAUAGGAAUGCAUGGGAUAGGGUUAGGGUUAGGGUUAGGGUUAGGGUUGGAGUUAGGGUUAGUGUUGGAGCUAGGGUUAGGGUUGGGCUUGGAGCUAGGAUUUUUCUGAGUGCAAUGAACCAACUCCCGAGUCUCUAGGAUGUUCCUAAAAAAAUUUGUUUUUUUCCCAUAGGAAUGCAUGGGUUAGGGUUAGGGUUAGGGUUAAGGUUGGAGUUAGGGUUAGUGUUGGAGCUAGGGUUAGGGUUGGGGCUAGGGUUAGG
RNAcentral lists this long non-coding RNA (2591 nucleotides) under Xyrichtys novacula (pearly razorfish). Lineage: Eukaryota; Metazoa; Chordata; Actinopteri; Labriformes; Labridae. The record is from RNAcentral.